GACGAACGCUGGCGGCGUGCUUAACACAUGCAAGUCGAACGGAAAGGCCCUGCUUGCAGGGUACUCGAGUGGCGAACGGGUGAGUAACACGUGGGUGAUCUGCCCUGCACUUCGGGAUAAGCCUGGGAAACUGGGUCUAAUACCGGAUAGGAGCCAUUUUUAGUGUGAUGGUUGGAAAGUUUUUUCGGUGUAGGAUGAGCUCGCGGCCUAUCAGCUUGUUGGUGGGGUAAUGGCCUACCAAGGCGGCGACGGGUAGCCGGCCUGGGAGGGUGGACGGCCACAUUGGGACUGAGAUACGGCCCAGACUCCUACGGGAGGCAGCAGUGGGGAAUAUUGCACAAUGGGCGCAGGCCUGAUGCAGCGACGCCGCGUGGGGGAUGACGGCCUUCGGGUUGUAAACUCCUUUCGCUAGGGACGAAGCUUUUUGUGACGGUACCUAGAUAAGAAGCACCGGCUAACUACGUG
This 465-nucleotide ribosomal RNA is filed under the name uncultured bacterium. RNAcentral describes it as "partial 16S ribosomal RNA". It matches the Rfam family "Bacterial small subunit ribosomal RNA", at positions 28 to 507 of the family's 1533-position model. The record is from RNAcentral.